RNAcentral lists this ribosomal RNA (483 nucleotides) under uncultured bacterium. RNAcentral describes it as "partial 16S ribosomal RNA". It matches the Rfam family "Bacterial small subunit ribosomal RNA", at positions 28 to 523 of the family's 1533-position model. The record is from RNAcentral.
GACGAACGCUGGCGGCGUGCUUAACACAUGCAAGUCGAACGAUGAAGCCGGAGCUUGCUCCGGUGGAUUAGUGGCGAACGGGUGAGUAACACGUGAGCAAUCUGCCCUUGACUCUGGGAUAACUGCGGGAAACUGUAGCUAAUACCGGAUACGACACCUUGGGGCAUCCCAGGGUGUGGAAAGAAUUUCGGUCAAGGAUGAGCUCGCGGGCUAUCAGCUAGUUGGUGAGGUAAUGGCUCACCAAGGCGACGACGGGUAGCCGGCCUGAGAGGGUGACCGGCCACACUGGAACUGGGACACGGUCCAGACUCCUACGGGAGGCAGAAGUGGGGAAUAUUGCACAAUGGGCGAAAGCCUGAUGCAGCAACGCCGCGUGAGGGAUGAAGGCCUUCGGGUUGUAAACCUCUUUUAGCAGGGAAGAAGCGAAAGUGACGGUACCUGCAGAAAAAGCACCGGCUAACUACGUGCCAGCCGCCGCCGUAA